Molecule: long non-coding RNA, 538 nt
Organism: Gallus gallus (chicken)
Lineage: Eukaryota; Metazoa; Chordata; Aves; Galliformes; Phasianidae
Exons: 4
Source: RefSeq, a predicted model, not a curated record
GGCACAGCAUUAAAUCAAGCAGAUCUGAAAACCAAAGCUGAUGAUCCAGCAGUGUUGCGAGGAUGGCUUUAUGGGCAGCCCAGGGCCUGCAGGGAAAUGGCUGCCAUGAGGAAGAAAUCUAGGGAAGCUGAGUGCUGCUGGAAUCUGAGUGGUGACUCUGAACCCCUAAGCUUUAUCCAGGGAUUUCUCAGCAUCGCCUGCCUGGUUUACUAAGGGAGAGGGUGGUGACGAGGCAGUAGCCGUGAGGCAAGGCAAGCAUUGGGGAUGUUGUGAGCAGGACAUGGGAGAGCAGCGAUGCCAGACUGAGCGCGCUAAGCAGAUGAGUGUCGUGGGGAAAGGUAUGUGAUGGUGUAAUAGCUGUCCAUGUCAUGGAAGGCUGGAUGGCUACAAGCAAUGAAAUUUGAAAUCAAUCCCAAAUCCUGCCGAGUCCAGGAGACCUUCACACCCAUGAAGGCACCACUGCUGAGUCAGGCCAAUGGCUGCGUGCACACCCAAGAAAUACACACGUGCUGAUAGAAAACAGAUUUAAAAGGUAACU